UGGCUCAGGACGAACGCUGGCGGCGUGCUUAACACAUGCAAGUCGAACGGAAAGGCCCUGCUUUUGUGGGGUGCUCGAGUGGCGAACGGGUGAGUAACACGUGAGUAACCUGCCCUUGACUUUGGGAUAACUUCAGGAAACUGGGGCUAAUACCGGAUAGGAGCUCCUGCUGCAUGGUGGGGGUUGGAAAGUUUCGGCGGUUGGGGAUGGACUCGCGGCUUAUCAGCUUGUUGGUGGGGUAGUGGCUUACCAAGGCUUUGACGGGUAGCCGGCCUGAGAGGGUGACCGGCCACAUUGGGACUGAGAUACGGCUCAGACUCCUACGGGAGGCAGCAGUGGGGAAUAUUGCACAAUGGGCGGAAGCCUGAUGCAGCAACGCCGCGUGCGGGAUGACGGCCUUCGGGUUGUAAACCGCUUUCGCCUGUGACGAACGUGAGUGACGGUAAUGGGUAAAGAAGCACCGGCUAACUACGUGCCAGCAGCCGCGGUGAUACGUAGGGUGCGAGCGUUGUCCGGAUUUAUUGGGCGUAAAGGGCUCGUAGGUGGUUGAUCGCGUCGGAAGUGUAAUCUUGGGGCUUAACCCUGAGCGUGCUUUCGAUACGGGUUGACUUGAGGAAGGUAGGGGAGAAUGGAAUUCCUGGUGGAGCGGUGGAAUGCGCAGAUAUCAGGAGGAACACCAGUGGCGAAGGCGGUUCUCUGGGCCUUUCCUGACGCUGAGGAGCGAAAGCGUGGGGAGCGAACAGGCUUAGAUACCCUGGUAGUCCACGCUGUAAACGGUGGGUACUAGGUGUGGGGUCCAUUCACGGGUUCCGCGCCGUAGCUAACGCUUUAAGUACCCCGCCUGGGGAGUACGGCCGCAAGGCUAAAACUCAAAGGAAUUGACGGGGCCCCGCACAAGCGGCGGAGCAUGCGGAUUAAUUCGAUGCAACGCGUAGAACCUUACCUGGGUUUGACAUGAUCGGGAGUGCUCAGAGAUGGGUGUGCCUCUUUUGGGGUCGGUUCACAGGUGGUGCAUGGCUGUCGUCAGCUCGUGUCGUGAGAUGUUGGGUUAAGUCCCGCAACGAGCGCAACCCUUGUUCACUGUUGCCAGCAGUUAUGGUUGGGGACUCAGUGGAGACCGCCGGGGUCAACUCGGAGGAAGGUGGGGAUGACGUCAAGUCAUCAUGCCCCUUAUGUCCAGGGCUUCACGCAUGCUACAAUGGCUGGUACAGAGAGUGGCGAGCCUGUGAGGGUGAGCGAAUCUCGGAAAGCCGGUCUCAGUUCGGAUUGGGGUCUGCAACUCGACCUCAUGAAGUUGGAGUCGCUAGUAAUCGCAGAUCAGAACGCUGCGGUGAAUACGUUCCCGGGGCUUGUACACACCGCCCGUCAAGUCAUGAAAGUUGGUAACACCCGAAGCCGGUGGCCUAACCGUUUGGGGGAGCCGUCGAAGGUGGGACUGGUGAUUAGGACUAAGUCGUAACAAGGU
Molecule: ribosomal RNA, 1465 nt
Filed under: uncultured bacterium
Lineage: Bacteria
Description: 16S ribosomal RNA
Rfam family: Bacterial small subunit ribosomal RNA
Source: RNAcentral